RNAcentral lists this ribosomal RNA (734 nucleotides) under unidentified microorganism. RNAcentral describes it as "bacterial SSU rRNA". It matches the Rfam family "Bacterial small subunit ribosomal RNA", at positions 50 to 780 of the family's 1533-position model. The record is from RNAcentral.
UACACAUGCAGUCGAACGGCAGCACGGGGGCAACCCUGGUGGCGAGUGGCGAACGGGUGAGUAACAUAUCGGAACGUGCCCUGGAGUGGGGGAUAACUAGUCGAAAGACUAGCUAAUACCGCAUACGAUCUACGGAUGAAAGUGGGGGAUCGCAAGACCUCAUGCUCGUGGAGCGGCCGAUAUCUGAUUAGCUAGUUGGUGGGGUAAAGGCCUACCAAGGCAUCGAUCAGUAGCUGGUCUGAGAGGACGACCAGCCACACUGGGACUGAGACACGGCCCAGACUCCUACGGGAGGCAGCAGUGGGGAAUUUUGGACAAUGGGGGCAACCCUGAUCCAGCAAUGCCGCGUGAGUGAAGAAGGCCUUCGGGUUGUAAAGCUCUUUUGUCAGGGAAGAAACGGCGGGAGCUAAUAUCUCCUGCUAAUGACGGUACCUGAAGAAUAAGCACCGGCUAACUACGUGCCAGCAGCCGCGGUAAUACGUAGGGUGCAAGCGUUAAUCGGAAUUACUGGGCGUAAAGCGUGCGCAGGCGGUUGUGCAAGACCGAUGUGAAAUCCCCGGGCUUAACCUGGGAAUGGCAUUGGUGACUGCACGGCUAGAGUGUGUCAGAGGGGGGUAGAAUUCCACGUGUAGCAGUGAAAUGCGUAGAGAUGUGGAGGAAUACCGAUGGCGAAGGCAGCCCCCUGGGAUAACACUGACGCUCAUGCACGAAAGCGUGGGGAGCAAACAGGAUUA